Molecule: long non-coding RNA, 243 nt
Filed under: Elaeis guineensis (African oil palm)
Lineage: Eukaryota; Viridiplantae; Streptophyta; Magnoliopsida; Arecales; Arecaceae
Description: long non-coding RNA (EGUI_LNC038907)
Source: RNAcentral
UUGGCCAAAGACUUCUAGAAUUACCGACCUAUGAGAUCACAUAGGAUAUCCGCUCUCCUUAUUAAGAGUGAUUGAUCCUUUAUUGAUCACUCACAACCUCCAUGCCCACUUCAUCAUAUCCAAAACACCUCAUACAAGGAUCAAAGAAUCAAGUUAGGAAGUGAACCAAAAUAUGGAUCCAUUUACACAAGGUACCAUGGUGAUCUCAGGUCAAAGGAUCACUUACACAACUCCCACUAGAGA